RNAcentral lists this ribosomal RNA (279 nucleotides) under uncultured bacterium. RNAcentral describes it as "partial 16S ribosomal RNA". It matches the Rfam family "Bacterial small subunit ribosomal RNA", at positions 506 to 784 of the family's 1533-position model. The record is from RNAcentral.
UGCCAGCCGCCGCGGUAAUACGAAGGGGGCUAGCGUUGUUCGGAAUCACUGGGCGUAAAGCGCACGUAGGCUGACUGGUCAGUUGGGGGUGAAAUCCCGGGGCUCAACCUCGGAACUGCCUUCAAUACUGCCAGUCUUGAGUCCGAGAGAGGUGAGUGGAAUUCCUAGUGUAGAGGUGAAAUUCGUAGAUAUUCGGAGGAACACCAGUGGCGAAGGCGGCUCACUGGCUCGAUACUGACGCUGAGGUACGAAAGUAUGGGUAGCGAAGAGGAUUAGAUA